Molecule: long non-coding RNA, 536 nt
Organism: Lolium perenne
Lineage: Eukaryota; Viridiplantae; Streptophyta; Magnoliopsida; Poales; Poaceae
Source: RefSeq, a predicted model, not a curated record
UACUGAUCCGUAUCGUCUUCAACCUCCUGCCUAGUUCGACCAGGACACGGGACUCCCAAACCAACUCGAAAAUCCCCAGAUUUUUCGCUCCGAUUCCGUUCAAAUCCGUGCCCCCUACUCCACGAAAACUCCUCCAUAUAUACUCCCGCAUCGGCCUCUCUCCGUUUUUCUAAAAAUCGCAAACCCUAGACCACCAGAGAGCCCGUUCCGAUCUCGCCGGAGUUCCGCCGUCGCGAACUUGAAGACGAGGACCACGGAAACAACCAGACGAUAACGCCGGAGUCUCGCCGGAGUUCGUCGUUUCCAGUCGGAGAUAGACGCUGUUUGGAACGAGGAGAAUCGCUGACGAGAACGGGGAAGAAGAUCUCUCGUCGACCCGCACAUCGUCGCCCUUCGGAGCCCGCCAGCACACCGACGUGGACAUCCGCACCUGACCACCGCGAACGUCUCCUCCGUCGUCCACGGCCACCUGAUUGUGCGGAGUGCGCGAGUGCUGCUGAGGAGGAAUAUUGUUUAGAGUGCUGUUCGGAUCAAGG